RNAcentral lists this ribosomal RNA (471 nucleotides) under Triticum aestivum (bread wheat). Its description in RNAcentral is "partial small subunit ribosomal RNA". The record is from RNAcentral. Lineage: Eukaryota; Viridiplantae; Streptophyta; Magnoliopsida; Poales; Poaceae.
AUGAAUCUCAGGGGGGAGGAGGAAGACGUGGUACUAGAGGAAGAUCUGGAAGAGCUAGAGAAGGAUGCUGAAUUCAUGGCGUUGGCUAGGGUCCAUACAAACAAAAAGUUCAGUCAUGGUUCCUUCUACGACAAUAUGAGAUCGGCGUGGAACCUGGAGCAAGAAGUGGAGUUUAGAGCAAUUGAGGAUAACCUGUUUGCGGUACAGAUGAGUUGCUUGGGAGAUUGGGAGAGGGUGAUGAACGAAGGUCCGUGGAUAUUCAGAAACUGCCUGGUACUGCUGGUCCCAUAUGAUGGGUGGCCGGAGGUGAAUGAGAUUGAACUCAAUACUUACCAGGUCUGGAUGAGGGUGAUGGGGCUGAAGGAGAAGAUGAGAACUACUAGUAUUGCUAGGCAAUUAGCGAAAAAGGCAGGGGAAGUGGUGCGUGUGGAGGAGCGGUCAGUCAAGGGCCAAGAGGAGGGAUUCGAGUGA